CGCGGGGUGGAGCGGUUUGGUAGCUCGUCGGGCUCAUAACCCGAAGGUCGUUGGUUCAAAUCCAGCCCCCGCAACCA
Molecule: transfer RNA, 77 nt
Filed under: Pseudomonas tremae
Lineage: Bacteria; Pseudomonadati; Pseudomonadota; Gammaproteobacteria; Pseudomonadales; Pseudomonadaceae
Description: tRNA-Met
Rfam family: tRNA
About the family: Transfer RNA (tRNA) molecules are approximately 80 nucleotides in length. Their secondary structure includes four short double-helical elements and three loops (D, anti-codon, and T loops).
Source: RNAcentral